Molecule: transfer RNA, 73 nt
Filed under: Stegodyphus mimosarum
Lineage: Eukaryota; Metazoa; Arthropoda; Arachnida; Araneae; Eresidae
Rfam family: tRNA
About the family: Transfer RNA (tRNA) molecules are approximately 80 nucleotides in length. Their secondary structure includes four short double-helical elements and three loops (D, anti-codon, and T loops).
Source: Rfam by way of RNAcentral
GCCUUCGUGGUGUAGUGGUGAGCAUGUUCGACGCGUACUCGAGAGGUUCGUGGUUCGAAUCCCGGCGAGGGCA